Molecule: RNA transcript, 5354 nt
Organism: Balaenoptera ricei (Rice's whale)
Lineage: Eukaryota; Metazoa; Chordata; Mammalia; Artiodactyla; Balaenopteridae
Gene: DCLK2
Gene name: doublecortin like kinase 2
Exons: 17
Source: RefSeq, a predicted model, not a curated record
CCGGGAGGGAGUUGUGAGGCGUGGCCGGGUGGAGGAGGCGCCUGGGGGGGCGUGGGGCUCCCCGGCGAGCGGGAGGGACAGAGCGAGGCGCGCCGGACAAUGAGCUGGGCAGCUCGGCGCUGCGGCCACUUUUAGGGGGGCGCGGGCCGGCCGGCGCCUCCGCGGCUCCACCUGCGAGGAGAGGGCGGGAUGCCAGAGCUGGGUGUCCCGGCGCUCUGAGGCUCCUCGCAGUUAGACGUCCCUGAGCCGGUGCUCGCCUUGACCCUGGGCUACCUGGAGGCUUUGGCUGGGGCGUGUUUCGUGGGGGCGCCCCUGGAGCAGCCGCGAUGGCCAGCACCAGGAGUAUCGAGCUGGAGCACUUUGAGGAACGGGACAAAAGGCCGCGGCCGGGGUCGCGGAGAGGGGCGCCCAGCUCCUCCGGGGGCAGCAGCAGCUCCGGCCCCAAGGGGAACGGGCUCAUCCCCAGCCCGGCGCACAGUGCCCACUGCAGCUUCUACCGUACGCGGACCCUGCAGGCCCUGAGCUCGGAGAAGAAGGCCAAGAAGGCGCGCUUCUACCGGAAUGGGGACCGCUACUUCAAGGGCCUGGUGUUUGCCAUCUCCGGCGACCGUUUCCGGUCCUUCGAUGCGCUGCUUAUGGAGCUCACCCGCUCCCUGUCGGACAACGUGAACCUGCCCCAGGGUGUCCGCACCAUCUACACCAUCGACGGCAGCCGGAAGGUCACCAGCCUGGACGAGCUGCUGGAAGGUGAGAGUUACGUGUGUGCAUCGAAUGAACCGUUUCGUAAAGUUGAUUACACCAAAAACAUUAAUCCAAACUGGUCUGUGAACAUCAAGGGUGGGACCACCCGCGCCUUGGCUGCCCCCUCCUCAGUGAAGAGUGAAGUGAAGGAAAGUAAAGAUUUCAUCAAACCCAAAUUAGUGACUGUGAUUCGAAGUGGAGUGAAGCCUAGAAAAGCUGUGCGGAUCCUUCUGAAUAAGAAGACUGCUCAUUCCUUCGAACAGGUCUUAACAGAUAUCACUGAAGCCAUUAAACUGGACUCAGGAGUGGUGAAGAGGCUCUGCACGCUGGACGGGAAGCAGGUUACUUGUCUGCAAGACUUUUUUGGUGAUGAUGAUGUUUUUAUUGCAUGUGGACCUGAAAAAUUCCGUUACGCCCAAGAUGACUUUGUCCUGGAUCACAGUGAAUGCCGUGUCUUGAAGUCGUCUUAUUCUCGCACCUCAGCUGUUAGGUAUUCUGGAUCCAAGAGCCCUGGGCCUUCUCGACGCAGCAAAUCACCAGCUUCAGUAAAGAGGGGUGGCCACUACUCCAGGGCCUACUCUACAGCCAAAUCCCCAGUUAAUGGAACUCCCAGCAGCCAACUUUCCACUCCUAAAUCUACGAAAUCCUCCAGUUCCUCUCCAACUAGCCCAGGAAGUUUCAGAGGAUUAAAGCAGAAUUCUGCACAUGGCCGAUCUUCUUCCAAUGUAAAUGGCGGGCCUGAACUUGAUCGUUGCAUGAGUCCUAAAGGUGUGAAUGGAAACAGGUGCUCUGAAUCGUCAACUCUUCUUGAGAAGUACAAAAUUGGGAAGGUUAUUGGUGAUGGCAAUUUUGCAGUAGUCAAAGAGUGCAUGGACAGGUCCACAGGAAAGGAGUUUGCCCUAAAGAUUAUAGACAAAGCCAAAUGUUGUGGAAAGGAGCAUCUGAUUGAGAACGAAGUGUCGAUACUGCGCAGAGUGAAACAUCCAAAUAUCAUCAUGCUGGUUGAGGAGAUGGAAACAGCUACUGAGCUUUUUCUGGUGAUGGAAUUGGUCAAAGGUGGAGAUCUCUUUGAUGCAAUUACUUCUUCAACCAAGUACACUGAGAGAGAUGGCAGUGCCAUGGUGUACAACCUGGCCAACGCCCUCAGGUACCUCCACGCCCUCAGCAUUGUGCACAGAGACAUCAAGCCAGAGAACCUCUUGGUGUGUGAAUAUCCUGAUGGGACCAAGUCUUUGAAACUAGGAGACUUCGGGCUGGCCACUGUGGUAGAAGGCCCUUUAUACACAGUCUGUGGCACCCCGACUUACGUGGCCCCAGAAAUCAUUGCUGAAACCGGCUAUGGCCUGAAGGUGGACAUUUGGGCGGCUGGCGUGAUCACGUACAUACUGCUCUGUGGAUUCCCACCCUUCCGAAGUGAGAACAAUCUCCAGGAAGAUCUCUUCGACCAGAUCUUGGCUGGGAAGCUAGAGUUUCCGGCCCCCUACUGGGACAACAUCACGGACUCAGCCAAGGAAUUAAUCAGUCAAAUGCUUCAGGUAAACGUUGAAGCGCGGUGCACUGCGGGACAGAUCCUGAGUCACCCCUGGGUAUCAGACGAUGCCUCCCAGGAGAAUAAUAUGCAGGCUGAAGUAACAGGUAAACUCAAACAGCACUUUAAUAACGCGCUCCCCAAACAGAACAGCACCACCACCGGGGUCUCCGUUAUCAUGGUAAGUAGAACGCACGGUUCUGCCCUUGGGCAGCUGCAGCAUCUGGCUGACUGCUCAGCCGAUGUCGAAUCUUAUCAAGUCAGCCGCCAAGCGCUUCCCUCACGCGGCCGUGGGCGCCGUCGCGUUCCUCUACACUUCAGGAAUGGCUUGGCACGUGAAAGGCACCCUUUGGCCGGCUCCCAGGCCUUGGGUCCUGGGAUCAGAGGUUACGCAGGUCCCAGCAAGGCCAGGCUGAUGGGCCCCUGGCCGGGGCGCCCCGGCCUCUUCUCCUGGGCCUGGUGGCCUCCAGGCAGCUGCUUCUGUCUCAUCUCUGCUUUCCCGUCUAGAGAGCAGUUCCCAAGCCCAGGUGGGACUUACAGCAAAAGGAAGUGACUCCCUGACUGCUCAAGGCCUCAGACAUAGAUUAUUUGAGCUAUGAAUGAUUCUUUGGGACUUGGGAUAAGAAACAGCCAGAGUUAAGCAAAUUCCAUUUUAAAAAGUCAGUGUUUUGUGGUUUUUAAAAGUUCAGAAGAAUGAAAAAAAAAUAUUAGUUUUUUCAGGGUUGGUAAAAUUUUAUGACAAGUCAGUAACAGUGAUCCCCAUAUUUUUUCAAAUCUUCCUUCUUCCAAAAUGUUUUUAAAAAGGCAGCUUACCUAAAUCCACAAACACGGCAAAUGGAAAGUGGCAUUAAAGUAAGUGAAGUAGCAUGAAAGUAAGUUCAGCAAACGGGAGAAGAUGGCAGAAAAAAUAAAACUGAGCCAGAAGUGUGGCGUGCACCCUCCCACCAGCUGUCCAGACCCAAGUCCUUGCCCAGGUGGGGCCGUGAAACUGGCCCCCGGUGUGUCCUCACCUGCUCCGGUGCCGUGUGUAGAGCACGGGUCCCCGGCGUGAUCUCCGUCCCGCCCACAGGAUCAGGGAGCCGCGGCCGGGAGCCAGGCUUUCUCAGGAGGCGGGGGCCUGAGCUGGGUCUCGGCCACCCCAGGACUGCGGGGAUCUGUGGAGCCGGACAGCUCCGUCACCCUGACCUCAGGACAGGCCCUCACCCUCUGGAAAGGCUCGGUGUCCUACCCGACUGGGAGGAAAACAGUUGCUUAUUCUCAGGGCGCACCGUAGCCUCGGAAGCUUCCCUGCGAGGACGCGGCUCCAGACAGAGGCAGAGAGAAGCCCGCCCCCUCGUGAGGGCAGGAGGCCGGCUGCUCCUGGAGCCUCCACCACCGUCCUGGCACCGCCGCGCCGUCCUCCUCCCCCGGGGUGGGCGGCUGCGCUCCCCCCUCCAGCCCCCAGGCCAGGCUUGCAGGCUGAUGUGCUGCCGGACUCGCGAGUGGGGGUGAUGAUGGACUCUGGGCCGAAAGAGCGGGAAGGCCUCUUGAGCUGUGGUUUUCCUGGCAUCUCAGCAGUGUUCUGCCGAGAGCCUGAGAAAGUCAGAGUUGUCACAGAGCGGCAGCUUAAACCCUUUGCAAAGAACCAUCUUGACUGAGCCCACAGCAUGAGAAAGUUCUCAAGCGGUUCACCCUUGAGAGCAAGGCUGCCGGCUGGGGUAAGGGGUCACGGCCCUGCCUCCGGCUGCGUUGUUAGGCAGCUUCUGGGGAAAUUUACAAAAAUUUAAAAACAUUGAAAACUGGCACACGCAACAUGGAACAAAAAACUUGAGUCAGCAGCACAAUUUAACAACCACACGUUAAUUCAGCUUCAUAGUGUGCUAGAGGAAGAACCUUUAUAGGAGGCGCCCAGGGCUUAUGGCAGCUCCCCCCUCAUUCCCUGGGUCACCCGUCAACUCACGGCCCAGAUGGGAAUGGAUGGCCCAAGGCGUGUGGCCCGCCAAGGUUCUGGAAUGGUCAGCCCUUCUGCCUUUUGGCCCAGUAUAGGCUCUGUUCUGGAUAAGGACGUUUAGGUUGCCCUAGAACCUACAUCUCACGGUUUACAAAUGGCAUUUUUCCAUUUGCUGAUGGAUUUCAACUGUUAAAUUUCAAACGCCUGAGCUUUAACGGGAUGUUUGUGUGAAUGAACAACGCUUUAUUGUGAUUCCAGCGGUGAUUGUGAAAGUUGUGUGUUCCCAUGUGUGUUCAGUGUCACCUUGGGCAUGUUGGCAGGGCUCCGUCUAACCCCGCAUUCCGUACACAACUCCACAGCUCGAUAGCUCUGGGGAGGUGCUGACGACGUCACCACGCUCACUGCCUACGGGGGAAUCAGUAGAGCCUGCCUCGGGGGGUACCAGUUCUCCGUGGCCACAAAGCUGGCCUGUGAGUUCUGGCUUGUCCCCCAGAGCAGCGGUGAGCAGGCCUCCGCAGGGAUGUCGUACUCAUCCUCGCCCGACCGAGGACCUGGCGUGGUUGUGUCCGGGCAGCUUGCAAGGCUUCUGUGUCGUCUGCCUCGCUCUCUUCACCAGUACUGUGCGUCUUUGUGUCCUGCCCUUGGGAACAGCUUCAGAUGUUUUCUUAAAAAUCAUUAUUCACAAAUGACGCUCCCUGGUAUUUAUAUGUUCUCAUAACUGGGGUAUGUGAGGCUCAUGUGGUUUCCUACAGAUACAAAUAGCAGUGGAAACAGGGUAUAAAUGUUCCGAGGCGGAACCCUCAGGAACGGCUGUGUCGCUCCCAGACAGAACCUUGCUCUCCGCUGCCACCCCUAGUGUUCUCUCUGCCUUGGCCCCCCACGCCCCCCAAAGGAUUGGAGCCUGAGGCUCCGGUGAGAAAAUGAUAGGGUAGGAAUGGUAAAUAACGGUGCAAGAAAGUCAAGUUGAUGCUGUUGUCUGCAUUUUGUUUGACAGUUUGAUUUGACAGUUUGAGAGACACUUCAGAGUUUCACUCUGUACCCCGUUGAGACUCUGGGGACCCCGGAGCAGAAUUCUGAACACGGCUCUAGAUAAGGAGGGCCAGAUCUUCGGCAGUAAGCUCGGCGCGGACGGCAGCCGGCCCGGCCUGGAGCCCG